AGUGAAUAGAUACCCCGGUAGUCCACGCUGUAAACGAUGGAUACUCGGUAUCAGGGGAUUCGACCCCCUUGGUGCCUAAAGCUAAACGCAUUAAGUAUCCCGCCUGGGUAGUACGGCCGCAAGGCUAAAACUCAAAGGAAUAGACGGGGACCUACACAAGCGGUGGAGCAUGUGGUUUAAUUCGAUAAUAAGCGAGAAACCUUACCAGGACUUGACAUCUCGGGAAUCCUCCAGAAAUGGGGGAGUGCCGCAAGGAACCCGAUGACAGGUGUUGCAUGGUUGUCGUCAGCUCGUGCCUUGAGGUGUACUGUUAAGUCAGGAAACGAGCGCAACCCACAUCGUAUGUUACUUAUUUCAUGCGAGACUGCCGACUCCAAGUCGGAGGAAGGUGUGGAUGACGUCAAAUCAGCAUGGCCCUUAUGUCCUGGGCUACACACGUGCUACAAUGGCCGGCACAAAGCGCAGCGAAACCGAAAGGUGGAGCCAGUCGCAUCAAAACCGGUCUCAGUUCGGAUUGAGGGCUGCAACUCG
This 531-nucleotide ribosomal RNA is filed under the name uncultured bacterium. RNAcentral's name for it is "bacterial SSU rRNA". It matches the Rfam family "Bacterial small subunit ribosomal RNA", at positions 773 to 1314 of the family's 1533-position model. The record is from RNAcentral.